CGGGGCCCCGCGGGUCACGUGGGGGCGGCGGCGGCGCGAGCGGAGCGCGGGAGCGGAGGAGCCAUCGGCCAAUGAGAGCGGCCUGGGCGGCGCUGUCGCUGCUGCUGCUGCCGGGGCUGGGCCGGAGAGCGACGGGGACGGUGACAGCGACGGUGACAACGGCCACCA
Molecule: long non-coding RNA, 168 nt
Organism: Melospiza georgiana
Lineage: Eukaryota; Metazoa; Chordata; Aves; Passeriformes; Passerellidae
Exons: 3
Source: RefSeq, a predicted model, not a curated record